Molecule: long non-coding RNA, 655 nt
Filed under: Spirodela polyrhiza (greater duckweed)
Lineage: Eukaryota; Viridiplantae; Streptophyta; Magnoliopsida; Alismatales; Araceae
Description: long non-coding RNA (SPOL_LNC001625)
Source: RNAcentral
GACAUUCGGAGCCCCCGGGGACAAUUAAACAGAAGAAGUUUCUCGAGCGUCGUCCGACUCCCGGGCAAACAUGGAGCGCCCACGAUAAACGGACAAACCAGGGGACGGCGGGCGGCUCCAACCUCCUACCGACUGUAAACGACUUCACCGUCACUUUCAUGGGCAUUGCUCUGGAACUCUCCUCUCUCUCUCUCUCUCUCUCUCUCUCUCUCUCUCUCUCUCUCUCUCUCUCUCUCUCUACCUGCGUUUGGUUCGAUCAGUCACAUUCGGGAGCGGUCUCCCAUUCACACAACCGUGAUUCCAUUACGUACAGGAGGCACAAGGGGGCGGGGGUGGGCGGCAUCGGUCGCCAACAGGUUCCAUGGCGGUCUCAAGUCUCGUUGUCGAUGUCGGUGGUCUCCAGGAUGUAGUCCCUCAUCAACCUGGUGUUGGAUUCAUCGACCAUCUGCGAGGCGACGAUCGCGAGGCCUGAGUGCACCGGGGUGAACUGGACGAGGCGAGAAAGGGGACAGGAAGGGACGGAGAGGGAUGGCGGACCUUGAAGGCGAGCUUCUUCAUAUUCUCCCACUCAAAAUCCUGCUUCUGAUACGCAGAUCUGACCUGCGUUGCACGCCAUGGAUCACAGUUUCAGAGGUAGGUCAAGGAGAGAACGGGG